Molecule: ribosomal RNA, 468 nt
Filed under: uncultured bacterium
Lineage: Bacteria
Description: partial 16S ribosomal RNA
Rfam family: Bacterial small subunit ribosomal RNA
Source: RNAcentral
GACGAACGCUGGCGGCGUGCUUAACACAUGCAAGUCGAACGGAAAGGCCCUGCUUUUGUUGGUUGCUCGAGUGGCGAACGGGUGAGUAACACGUGAGUAACCUGCCCUUGACUUUGGGAUAACUUCAGGAAACUGGGGCUAAUACCGGAUAGGAGCUCCUGCUGCAUGUUGGGUGUUGGAAAGUUUCGGCGGUUGGGGAUGGACUCGCGGCUUAUCAGCUUGUUGGUGGGGUAGUGGCUUACCAAGGCUUUGACGGGUAGCCGGCCUGAGAGGGUGACCGGCCACAUUGGGACUGAGAUACGGCCCAGACUCAUACGGGAGGCAGCAGUGGGGAAUAUUGCACAAUGGGCGGAAGCCUGAUGCAGCAACGCCGCGUGCGGGAUGACGGCCUUCGGGUUGUAAACCGCUUUCGCCUGUGACGAAGCGUGAGUGACGGUAAUGGGUAAAGAAGCACCGGCUAACUACGUG